RNAcentral lists this ribosomal RNA (253 nucleotides) under uncultured bacterium. RNAcentral describes it as "partial 16S ribosomal RNA". It matches the Rfam family "Bacterial small subunit ribosomal RNA", at positions 524 to 776 of the family's 1533-position model. The record is from RNAcentral.
UACGAACUGUGCAAACGUUAUUCGGAAUCACUGGGCUUAAAGGGUGCGUAGGCGGCUCGUUAGGUAGGGUGUGAAGGCCCCCGGCUCAAUCGGGGAAUUGCGCCCUAAACCGGCGGGCUGGAGUGAGAUAGGGGUGUGUGGAACUUCCAGUGGAGCGGUGAAAUGUGUUGAUAUUGGAAGGAACGCCGGUGGCGAAAGCGACACACUGGGUCUCAACUGACGCUGAGGCACGAAAGCCAGGGGAGCAAACGGG